This 650-nucleotide ribosomal RNA is filed under the name uncultured marine bacterium. RNAcentral describes it as "bacterial SSU rRNA". It matches the Rfam family "Bacterial small subunit ribosomal RNA", at positions 93 to 778 of the family's 1533-position model. The record is from RNAcentral.
GAGCGGCGGACGGGUUAGUAACGCGUGGGAACAUACCCUUUUCUACGGAAUAGCCUCGGGAAACUGAGAGUAAUACCGUAUAAGCCCUUCGGGGGAAAGAUUUAUCGGGAAAGGAUUGGCCCGCGUUAGAUUAGAUAGUUGGUGGGGUAAUGGCCUACCAAGUCUACGAUCUAUAGCUGGUUUUAGAGGAUGAUCAGCAACACUGGGACUGAGACACGGCCCAGACUCCUACGGGAGGCAGCAGUGGGGAAUCUUAGACAAUGGGCGCAAGCCUGAUCUAGCCAUGCCGCGUGUGUGAUGAAGGUCUUAGGAUCGUAAAGCACUUUCGCCAGGGAUGAUAACGACAGUACCUGGUAAAGAAACCCCGGCUAACUCCGUGCCAGCAGCCGCGGUAAUACGGAGGGGGUUAGCGUUGUUCGGAAUUACUGGGCGUAAAGCGUACGUAGGCGGAUCAGAAAGUAUGGGGUGAAAUCCCAGGGCUCAACCCUGGAACUGCCUCAUAAACUCCUGGUCUUGAGUUCGAGAGAGGUGAGUGGAAUUCCAAGUGUAGAGGUGAAAUUCGUAGAUAUUUGGAGGAACACCAGUGGCGAAGGCGGCUCACUGGCUCGAUACUGACGCUGAGGUACGAAAGUGUGGGGAGCAAACAGGAU